Camelina sativa (false flax) is the source of this 798-nucleotide non-coding RNA. The record is from RefSeq and is a predicted model, not a curated record. Lineage: Eukaryota; Viridiplantae; Streptophyta; Magnoliopsida; Brassicales; Brassicaceae.
AAAUCAGAAAAAGGAGAUAAUGUAAAAUCCUCUCCUUUGUCGGAACUAUACUAUGCCACCUAAUUGCGAUUUGAGCCAGCGCAGCCCAUACCUUCUUCUCUCUUUCACCACUGUUCUUUCGCCAUACCUCUUUCCUUUCAUCACCGUUCUCUCUCUCUCUCUCUCUCUCUCUCUCUGUUAUAUGUUCAGUUCUGUGAAUAUUGGACAGAUUGUGAACCAAAAGUUGGACAAAAUGCUGAGAGGUUCUAAGAAUUUUGGACUACAAACACAACAUCCGUAAUAUGUCCGUUAUAGCUCAAGUUGACGACGUGGAUGCAGUUGAUAUUGGAGUAGACAUGCCAUUGACAUUAUUGCAGCUUCAUUCCAUCUCUAAGACGGUAUCAAGCGGUGACUAUCAUUCCCAGAGAAGUGAAAGAAGCAAAGGAACAGACGUUAUCAAGCGGUGACAAUCGUUCCCAGAGAAGUGAAAGAAGCAAAUGAAUACUAGAAAGUUGAAGAAAAUUUAUAUAGAAGAUGAGAAUUGUUGUAACCACCAUGAACGUGGAUCUGUUAGUGGAGUUGUGCUUCUCGUCGAGCAGAGGAGAGGAAGAUGAAAAGGUGAACACACGUGUUUUGAUGCUUAGGGUAUGUUUGUGGGCUUCAUAUAUUGUGCAUAAGCCAAAAACUCACGGUUCACAAAAAAUUGGGCUUAUGGCCUUGUACUUGGGCUUAAUAUACACAUACAGCAAAUCAAAACCCUAUUUAAUAGUUCAGAGAUUUGCUACGGUUUUGUAUAAAAGUUCCUAUUUUUUUGCCACG